UCAUCUCCGGGGGUAGAGCACUGUUUCGGCAAGGGGGUCAUCCCGACUUACCAACCCGAUGCAAACUGCGAAUACCGGAGAAUGUUAUCACGGGAGACACACGGCGGGUGCUAACGUCCGUCGUGAAGAGGGAAACAACCCAGACCGCCAGCUAAGGUCCCAAAGUCAUGGUUAAGUGGGAAACGAUGUGGGAAGGCCCAGACAGCCAGGAUGUUGGCUUAGAAGCAGCCAUCAUUUAAAGAAAGCGUAAUAGCUCACUGGUCGAGUCGGCCUGCGCGGAAGAUGUAACGGGGCUAAACCAUGCACCGAAGCUGCGGCAGCGACACUAUGUGUUGUUGGGUAGGGGAGCGUUCUGUAAGCCUGCGAAGGUGUACUGUGAGGCAUGCUGGAGGUAUCAGAAGUGCGAAUGCUGACAUAAGUAACGAUAAAGCGGGUGAAAAGCCCGCUCGCCGGAAGACCAAGGGUUCCUGUCCAACGUUAAUCGGGGCAGGGUGAGUCGACCCCUAAGGCGAGGCCGAAAGGCGUAGUCGAUGGGAAACAGGUUAAUAUUCCUGUACUUGGUGUUACUGCGAAGGGGGGACGGAGAAGGCUAUGUUGGCCGGGCGACGGUUGUCCCGGUUUAAGCGUGUAGGCUGGUUUUCCAGGCAAAUCCGGAAAAUCAAGGCUGAGGCGUGAUGACGAGGCACUACGGUGCUGAAGCAACAAAUGCCCUGCUUCCAGGAAAAGCCUCUAAGCAUCAGGUAACAUCAAAUCGUACCCCAAACCGACACAGGUGGUCAGGUAGAGAAUACCAAGGCGCUUGAGAGAACUCGGGUGAAGGAACUAGGCAAAAUGGUGCCGUAACUUCGGGAGAAGGCACGCUGAUAUGUAGGUGAGGUCCCUCGCGGAUGGAGCUGAAAUCAGUCGAAGAUACCAGCUGGCUGCAACUGUUUAUUAAAAACACAGCACUGUGCAAACACGAAAGUGGACGUAUACGGUGUGACGCCUGCCCGGUGCCGGAAGGUUAAUUGAUGGGGUUAGCGCAAGCGAAGCUCUUGAUCGAAGCCCCGGUAAACGGCGGCCGUAACUAUAACGGUCCUAAGGUAGCGAAAUUCCUUGUCGGGUAAGUUCCGACCUGCACGAAUGGCGUAAUGAUGGCCAGGCUGUCUCCACCCGAGACUCAGUGAAAUUGAACUCGCUGUGAAGAUGCAGUGUACCCGCGGCAAGACGGAAAGACCCCGUGAACCUUUACUAUAGCUUGACACUGAACAUUGAGCCUUGAUGUGUAGGAUAGGUGGGAGGCUUAGAAGUGUGGACGCCAGUCUGCAUGGAGCCGACCUUGAAAUACCACCCUUUAAUGUUUGAUGUUCUAACGUUGACCCGUAAUCCGGGUUGCGGACAGUGUCUGGUGGGUAGUUUGACUGGGGCGGUCUCCUCCUAAAGAGUAACGGAGGAGCACGAAGGUUGGCUAAUCCUGGUCGGACAUCAGGAGGUUAGUGCAAUGGCAUAAGCCAGCUUGACUGCGAGCGUGACGGCGCGAGCAGGUGCGAAAGCAGGUCAUAGUGAUCCGGUGGUUCUGAAUGGAAGGGCCAUCGCUCAACGGAUAAAAGGUACUCCGGGGAUAACAGGCUGAUACCGCCCAAGAGUUCAUAUCGACGGCGGUGUUUGGCACCUCGAUGUCGGCUCAUCACAUCCUGGGGCUGAAGUAGGUCCCAAGGGUAUGGCUGUUCGCCAUUUAAAGUGGUACGCGAGCUGGGUUUAGAACGUCGUGAGACAGUUCGGUCCCUAUCUGCCGUGGGCGCUGGAGAACUGAGGGGGGCUGCUCCUAGUACGAGAGGACCGGAGUGGACGCAUCACUGGUGUUCGGGUUGUCAUGCCAAUGGCACUGCCCGGUAGCUAAAUGCGGAAGAGAUAAGUGCUGAAAGCAUCUAAGCACGAAACUUGCCCCGAGAUGAGUUCUCCCUGACUCCUUGAGAGUCCUGAAGGAACGUUGAAGACGACGACGUUGAUAGGCCGGGUGUGUAAGCGCAGCGAUGCGUUGAGCUAACCGGUACUAAUGAACCGUGAGGCUUAACCUU
RNAcentral lists this ribosomal RNA (2057 nucleotides) under Escherichia coli KTE61. RNAcentral's name for it is "bacterial LSU rRNA". It matches the Rfam family "Bacterial large subunit ribosomal RNA", at positions 890 to 2925 of the family's 2925-position model. The record is from RNAcentral. Lineage: Bacteria; Pseudomonadati; Pseudomonadota; Gammaproteobacteria; Enterobacterales; Enterobacteriaceae.